AGGAUGAACGCUGGCGGCGUGCCUAAUACAUGCAAGUCGAGCGAACGGACGAGAAGCUUGCUUCUCUGAUGUUAGCGGCGGACGGGUGAGUAACACGUGGAUAACCUACCUAUAAGACUGGGAUAACUUCGGGAAACCGGAGCUAAUACCGGAUAAUAUUUUGAACCGCAUGGUUCAAAAGUGAAAGACGGUCUUGCUGUCACUUAUAGAUGGAUCCGCGCUGCAUUAGCUAGUUGGUAAGGUAACGGCUUACCAAGGCAACGAUGCAUAGCCGACCUGAGAGGGUGAUCGGCCACACUGGAACUGAGACACGGUCCAGACUCCUACGGGAGGCAGCAGUAGGGAAUCUUCCGCAAUGGGCGAAAGCCUGACGGAGCAACGCCGCGUGAGUGAUGAAGGUCUUCGGAUCGUAAAACUCUGUUAUUAGGGAAGAACAUAUGUGUAAGUAACUGUGCACAUCUUGACGGUACCUAAUCAGAAAGCCACGGCUAACUACGUGCCAGCAGCCGCGGUAAUACGUAGGUGGCAAGCGUUAUCCGGAAUUAUUGGGCGUAAAGCGCGCGUAGGCGGUUUUUUAAGUCUGAUGUGAAAGCCCACGGCUCAACCGUGGAGGGUCAUUGGAAACUGGAAAACUUGAGUGCAGAAGAGGAAAGUGGAAUUCCAUGUGUAGCGGUGAAAUGCGCAGAGAUAUGGAGGAACACCAGUGGCGAAGGCGACUUUCUGGUCUGUAACUGACGCUGAUGUGCGAAAGCGUGGGGAUCAAACAGGAUUAGAUACCCUGGUAGUCCACGCCGUAAACGAUGAGUGCUAAGUGUUAGGGGGUUUCCGCCCCUUAGUGCUGCAGCUAACGCAUUAAGCACUCCGCCUGGGGAGUACGACCGCAAGGUUGAAACUCAAAGGAAUUGACGGGGACCCGCACAAGCGGUGGAGCAUGUGGUUUAAUUCGAAGCAACGCGAAGAACCUUACCAAAUCUUGACAUCCUUUGACAACUCUAGAGAUAGAGCCUUCCCCUUCGGGGGACAAAGUGACAGGUGGUGCAUGGUUGUCGUCAGCUCGUGUCGUGAGAUGUUGGGUUAAGUCCCGCAACGAGCGCAACCCUUAAGCUUAGUUGCCAUCAUUAAGUUGGGCACUCUAAGUUGACUGCCGGUGACAAACCGGAGGAAGGUGGGGAUGACGUCAAAUCAUCAUGCCCCUUAUGAUUUGGGCUACACACGUGCUACAAUGGACAAUACAAAGGGUAGCGAAACCGCGAGGUCAAGCAAAUCCCAUAAAGUUGUUCUCAGUUCGGAUUGUAGUCUGCAACUCGACUACAUGAAGCUGGAAUCGCUAGUAAUCGUAGAUCAGCAUGCUACGGUGAAUACGUUCCCGGGUCUUGUACACACCGCCCGUCACACCACGAGAGUUUGUAACACCCGAAGCCG
This 1422-nucleotide ribosomal RNA is filed under the name Staphylococcus aureus. RNAcentral's name for it is "bacterial SSU rRNA". It matches the Rfam family "Bacterial small subunit ribosomal RNA". Lineage: Bacteria; Bacillati; Bacillota; Bacilli; Caryophanales; Staphylococcaceae. The record is from RNAcentral.